GAUGAACGCUGGCGGCGUGCCUAAUACAUGCAAGUCGAGCGAACAGACGAGGAGCUUGCUCCUCUGACGUUAGCGGCGGACGGGUGAGUAACACGUGGAUAACCUACCUAUAAGACUGGGAUAACUUCGGGAAACCGGAGCUAAUACCGGAUAAUAUAUUGAACCGCAUGGUUCAAUAGUGAAAGACGGUUUUGCUGUCACUUAUAGAUGGAUCCGCGCCGCAUUAGCUAGUUGGUAAGGUAACGGCUUACCAAGGCAACGAUGCGUAGCCGACCUGAGAGGGUGAUCAGCCACACUGGAACUGAGACACGGUCCAGACUCCUACGGGAGGCAGCAGUAGGGAAUCUUGCGCAAUGGGCGAAAGCUUGACGGAGCAACGCCGCGUGAGUGAUGAAGGUCUUCGGAUCGUAAAACUCCGUUAUUAGGGAAGAACAACUGUGUAAGUAACUAUGCCCGUCUUGACGGUACCUACUCAGAAAGCCACGGCUAACUACGUG
This 497-nucleotide ribosomal RNA is filed under the name uncultured bacterium. RNAcentral's name for it is "partial 16S ribosomal RNA". It matches the Rfam family "Bacterial small subunit ribosomal RNA", at positions 28 to 507 of the family's 1533-position model. The record is from RNAcentral.